UGCAGUCGAACGAGUUCUCGUUGAUGAUCGGUGCUUGCACCGAGAUUCAACAUGGAACGAGUGGCGGACGGGUGAGUAACACGUGGGUAACCUGCCCUUAAGUGGGGGAUAACAUUUGGAAACAGAUGCUAAUACCGCAUAGAUCCAAGAACCGCAUGGUUCUUGGCUGAAAGAUGGCGUAAGCUAUCGCUUUUGGAUGGACCCGCGGCGUAUUAGCUAGUUGGUGAGGUAAUGGCUCACCAAGGCGAUGAUACGUAGCCGAACUGAGAGGUUGAUCGGCCACAUUGGGACUGAGACACGGCCCAAACUCCUACGGGAGGCAGCAGUAGGGAAUCUUCCACAAUGGACGCAAGUCUGAUGGAGCAACGCCGCGUGAGUGAAGAAGGCUUUCGGGUCGUAAAACUCUGUUGUUGGAGAAGAAUGGUCGGCAGAGUAACUGUUGUCGGCGUGACGGUAUCCAACCAGAAAGCCACGGCUAACUACGUGCCAGCAGCCGCGGUAAUACGUAGGUGGCAAGCGUUAUCCGGAUUUAUUGGGCGUAAAGCGAGCGCAGGCGGUUUUUUAAGCCUGAUGUGAAAGCCCUCGGCUUAACCGAGGAAGCGCAUCGGAAACUGGGAAACUUGAGUGCAGAAGAGGACAGUGGAACUCCAUGUGUAGCGGUGAAAUGCGUAGAUAUAUGGAAGAACACCAGUGGCGAAGGCGGCUGUCUGGUCUGUAACUGACGCUGAGGCUCGAAAGCAUGGGUAGCGAACAGGAUUAGAUACCCUGGUAGUCCAUGCCGUAAACGAUGAAUGCUAGGUGUUGGAGGGUUUCCG
This 815-nucleotide ribosomal RNA is filed under the name uncultured bacterium. RNAcentral's name for it is "bacterial SSU rRNA". It matches the Rfam family "Bacterial small subunit ribosomal RNA", at positions 56 to 836 of the family's 1533-position model. The record is from RNAcentral.